RNAcentral lists this ribosomal RNA (468 nucleotides) under uncultured bacterium. Its description in RNAcentral is "partial 16S ribosomal RNA". It matches the Rfam family "Bacterial small subunit ribosomal RNA", at positions 28 to 507 of the family's 1533-position model. The record is from RNAcentral.
GACGAACGCUGGCGGCGUGCUUAACACAUGCAAGUCGAACGGAAAGGCCCUGCUUUUGUGGGGUGCUCGAGUGGCGAACGGGUGAGUAACACGUGAGUAACCUGCCCUUGACUUUGGGAUAACUUCAGGAAACUGGGGCUAAUACCGGAUAGGAGCUCCUGCUGCAUGGUGGGGGUUGGAAAGUUUCGGCGGUUGGGGAUGGACUCGCGGCUUAUCAGCUUGUUGGUGGGGUAGUGGCUUACCAAGGCUUUGACGGGUAGCCGGCCUGAGAGGGUGACCGGCCACAUUGGGACUGAGAGACGGCCCAGACUCCUACGGGAGGCAGCAGUGGGGAAUAGUGCACAAUGGGCGGAAGCCUGAUGCAGCAACGCCGCGUGCGGGAUGACGGCCUUCGGGUUGUAAACCGCUUUCGCCUGUGACGAAGCGUGAGUGACGGUAAUGGGUAAAGAAGCACCGGCUAACUACGUG